CCCUGGCCAGUGCCACCGCAACCUCAGCAGUGAGGCUGCAGCUGCCUCGUGGGGAGCCCCUUCCCCUCAUGUCUUCAGCCGCACCCUGGCCCAACAGCCACUCGAGCUCCCUAGUGAGCCAAGCAUUUCUUGGGGACACCAAGAAACCUUGCUUGGUGUCCCCUGCCCAGGCUCCAUGCUCCCGAGAGAGAGAAGAAACUCCACCCUCACCGUCCACGCAGCUCCCCAGGAGUGUCAGAGGGCAGAGGAGGGGGCUCAGGGCCGCACAGCAGAAUGGCCCCAAGGGAGGGAGGGACGGGCCUAAGAACCAUGGGGUGGUUGUCUCACUGGAUGUCCACUCAGUCUCCCACUAAGAAAGCCCACUAGGAAUCAGAGGCAGCAAGGCUAAUGAAAGUCGGUUCUCACAGCAGCUGGGCAGGGAGGAUUCACCUGGGCCUGGGUCCUGCAGCCCUGCUCCUUUGACCCCGUGCCAGGGCCAGCUCUGCACACUCCAGUCCCGGGGCUCGGCCUUUCCCCUAACCAGUGAGUGUGGGCGUCAGUUCGGGCUGCUGUAGAAGAGACCACCAAUCCAGGGCCUAAUCAAUGGAAACUCGUCUCCUGGUUCUGGGAGCUGGAAAUCUGAGGGUUUGUGGCAUCAUCAUCCCCUGGAACUAUCCCCUGAUGAUGCUGUCCUGGAAGACAGCUGCCUGCCUGGCUGCCGGGAACACAGUGGUGAUCAAGCCUGCUCAGGUGACCCCACUCACAGCCUUGAAGUUUGCAGAGCUGACAUUAAAGGCCGGCAUUCCCAAAGGUGUGGUUAACGUCCUCCCAGGAUCUGUGCUCCUUGCUUUUUCCUGUGGAUUCUGACUACUG
Molecule: long non-coding RNA, 852 nt
Filed under: Pan troglodytes (chimpanzee)
Lineage: Eukaryota; Metazoa; Chordata; Mammalia; Primates; Hominidae
Description: long non-coding RNA NONPTRT012075
Source: RNAcentral